GAUGAACGCUGACCGAAUGCUCACCACAUGCAAGUCAACUUGAAUUUGGGUUUUUAACUUAGGUUUGGGUGGCGGACGGGUGAGUAACGCGUAAAGAACUUGCCUCACAGGUAGGGACAACAUUUGGAAACGAAUGCUAAUACCUAAUAUUAUGAUAAUAGGGCAUCCUAUAAUUAUGAAAGCUAUAAGCGCUGUGAGAGAGCUUUGCGUCCCAUUAGCUAGUUGGAGAGGUAACGGCUCACCAAGGCGAUGAUGGGUAGCCGGCCUGAGAGGGUGAUCGGCCACAAGGGGACGGAGACACGGCCCUUACUCCUACGGGAGGCAGCAUGGGGAAUAUUGGACAAUGGACCGAGAGUCUUGAUCCACAAUUCUGUGUGCGCUAUGAAGUUUUUCUGAAUGGAAAGUGCUUUCAUUUGGGAAGAAACAAACGAUGGUGUCAACAGAAUAAUUGACGGGUAAAUACGUUCCAGCUGCCGCGGUGUGACUUAUGUCAUGAUUGUUAUCCUGAUUUAUUGUGCGAAAAGCGCGUCUGGUGGGUAAGAUAAUCUUAUGCACAAUGUUGUGCUCGUUCGGUGUUGUGGUGGAUGUGGCUCAAUUUGUGUACUUGACAAUGUAUUCGUAACUACACUUGAAGAUGUUAAUGUCGUAUAUACUUGUCUCACGCCCUAUUGCUGAACUCAUACAAUGGUACUAUAUAGUUGUAGAUUGUGCUGCUGUUGUGUUGCUGUUUGUGUUUAUGUCUAUGUAUUGUGUGUGUGUGUUCUGAUGUGGUGUCAUAGCUGCGUUUACUGUUGCUGUAUCGCUGUGCUCAAGAUAUAUUACUGUAGUUCCUGUAUAUGUGUCUGCCUAUCUGCCCCUGUCCUGCCUGUUCUCACCC
RNAcentral lists this ribosomal RNA (877 nucleotides) under uncultured Treponema sp. RNAcentral's name for it is "bacterial SSU rRNA". The stretch from base 1 to 553 matches the Rfam family "Bacterial small subunit ribosomal RNA". The record is from RNAcentral. Lineage: Bacteria; Pseudomonadati; Spirochaetota; Spirochaetia; Treponematales; Treponemataceae.